This 253-nucleotide ribosomal RNA is filed under the name uncultured bacterium. RNAcentral's name for it is "partial 16S ribosomal RNA". It matches the Rfam family "Bacterial small subunit ribosomal RNA", at positions 524 to 776 of the family's 1533-position model. The record is from RNAcentral.
UACGUAGGGUGCGAGCGUUAAUCGGAAUUACUGGGCGUAAAGCGUGCGCAGGCGGUGGCACAAGUCAGGUGUGAAAUCCCCGAGCUUAACUUGGGAAUUGCAUUUGAAACUAGGUCGCUAGAGUUUGGAAGAGGGGGGUAGAAUUCCACGUGUAGCAGUGAAAUGCGUAGAGAUGUGGAGGAAUACCGAUGGCGAAGGCGGCUACCUGGACCAAGACUGACGCUGAGGCACGAAAGCGUGGGGAGCAAACAGG